AACGAACGCUGGCGGCAUGCCUAACACAUGCAAGUCGAACGAAACCUUCGGGUCUUGUGUCGCACGGUUUCGUAACGCGUGGGAACCUGCCCUUAUGUUCGGAAUAACUCCCCGAAAGGGGUACUUAUACCGGAUAAUGUCUUCGGCCCAAAGAUUUAUCGCCUUUGGUUGUUCACGCGUUGGAUUCGCUAGUUGGUAGGGUAAAAGCAUACUAAGGCGUCGAUGAAUAGCUGGUAUGAGAGGAAGAUCAGCCACACUGGGAGUGAGAAACGGCCGAGACUCCUACGGGAGGGAGGAGUGGGGAAUAGUGGAAAGUGGGGGGAAGGAUGAAGGAGCAAUGCCGGGUGAGUGAUGAAGGCCUUAGGGUUGUAAAGCUCUUUUACCCGGGAAGAUAAUGACAGUACCGGGAGAAUAAGCUCCGGCUAACUACGUG
RNAcentral lists this ribosomal RNA (433 nucleotides) under uncultured bacterium. RNAcentral's name for it is "partial 16S ribosomal RNA". It matches the Rfam family "Bacterial small subunit ribosomal RNA", at positions 29 to 507 of the family's 1533-position model. The record is from RNAcentral.